AUGGCUGGCGGCGGCGCUGGAUCCGUGGUGAACGAGCCGCCGCGCAGGCGCAGGCGUGACCGUGCCGCCGUCCCUGCCCCCAUCCCUGACGAGGUCGUCCAGUGGGAAAUCCUCGUCCACGUGCCGGCGAAGGAGCUCCUCCGCUGCCGCGCGGCCUGCCGCUCCUGGCGCCGCCUCGCCUCCGACGCCGCGUUCCUGAUGGCCCACCACCGCCGCCAGCCAUCGCUCCCGCUGGUCUUCUUCCGCACCAGGAGCAAUGACUACGCCACCCACGCCGUGGUUGAUGCCUUGGGUAUCCGGCGAACCCCCGCCGCUCGCCGGCCCGUCCUCGGGUUCGACGACUACAACAAAUCUCAUCGUAGCUUCACCAUCCACGCCUCCUGCGACGGCCUCCUCCUCCUUUCCCUCUCCAACCACCGCUUCUACAUCUGCAACCCGGCGACGCGCCAGUGGCUGCAGCUCCCGGAUCUGACCGGCGGCAGUGUCGCGGCCCUGUACCCUCACCGCCCGUCAGGCGACUACCGUGUCCUCUUCUGGAAGUAUCCAGACAACAAGAGUUGCAGGGUUGCCUACUACGUCCUCACCAUCAGCUCGUUCCAGGGACAACAGAGAUGCAUCGGGCUGCCAGUGGCCUCGCCAUCCAUGAACAAGGACAGGUCCUGGUGGCACCUUCAAGCCUCCGAGCACCCGCCUCUCCUGCUACAUGGCUGCCUACACUGGCAUGCUUUCAACAGAAAGAUAGUAAUUUUCGACACGGUGGCAGAGUCAUUUAGCUGGGUGCAAUCUCCCACAGCCACCAGCUUGGCACAUCUGCUUCAGAUGGAUGGUAUGCUCGGCAACGGCUGCAUAGAUACCGCUGCCAUGCCCGCGAAAACAUGGGUGUUGGAGGACUACGAGGCAGAAGUAUGGUCGUCAAAGUACGGACGGAAUUGCCGGAGGAGGAGAUGA
This 948-nucleotide ribosomal RNA is filed under the name Triticum aestivum (bread wheat). RNAcentral describes it as "partial small subunit ribosomal RNA". Lineage: Eukaryota; Viridiplantae; Streptophyta; Magnoliopsida; Poales; Poaceae. The record is from RNAcentral.